RNAcentral lists this ribosomal RNA (644 nucleotides) under Bifidobacterium longum. RNAcentral describes it as "bacterial SSU rRNA". It matches the Rfam family "Bacterial small subunit ribosomal RNA", at positions 68 to 724 of the family's 1533-position model. Lineage: Bacteria; Bacillati; Actinomycetota; Actinomycetes; Bifidobacteriales; Bifidobacteriaceae. The record is from RNAcentral.
GGGAUCCAUCAAGCUUGCUUGGUGGUGAGAGUGGCGAACGGGUGAGUAAUGCGUGACCGACCUGCCCCAUACACCGGAAUAGCUCCUGGAAACGGGUGGUAAUGCCGGAUGUUCCAGUUGAUCGCAUGGUCUUCUGGGAAAGCUUUCGCGGUAUGGGAUGGGGUCGCGUCCUAUCAGCUUGACGGCGGGGUAACGGCCCACCGUGGCUUCGACGGGUAGCCGGCCUGAGAGGGCGACCGGCCACAUUGGGACUGAGAUACGGCCCAGACUCCUACGGGAGGCAGCAGUGGGGAAUAUUGCACAAUGGGCGCAAGCCUGAUGCAGCGACGCCGCGUGAGGGAUGGAGGCCUUCGGGUUGUAAACCUCUUUUAUCGGGGAGCAAGCGUGAGUGAGUUUACCCGUUGAAUAAGCACCGGCUAACUACGUGCCAGCAGCCGCGGUAAUACGUAGGGUGCAAGCGUUAUCCGGAAUUAUUGGGCGUAAAGGGCUCGUAGGCGGUUCGUCGCGUCCGGUGUGAAAGUCCAUCGCUUAACGGUGGAUCCGCGCCGGGUACGGGCGGGCUUGAGUGCGGUAGGGGAGACUGGAAUUCCCGGUGUAACGGUGGAAUGUGUAGAUAUCGGGAAGAACACCAAUGGCGAAGGCAG